GACGGACGCUGGCGGCGUGCUUAACACAUGCAAGUCGAACGGAAAGGCCCCAGCUUGCUGGGGUACUCGAGUGGCGAACGGGUGAGUAACACGUGGGUGAUCUGCCCUGCACUCUGGGAUAAGCCUGGGAAACUGGGUCUAAUACCGGAUAGGACCGUGCUUUAGUGUGUGCGGUGGAAAGUUUUUCGGUGCAGGAUGAGCCCGCGGCCUAUCAGCUUGUUGGUGGGGUAAUGGCCUACCAAGGCGGCGACGGGUAGCCGGCCUGAGAGGGUGUACGGCCACAUUGGGACUGAGACACGGCCCAGACUCCUACGGGAGGCAGCAGUGGGGAAUAUUGCACAAUGGGCGCAAGCCUGAUGCAGCGACGCCGCGUGGGGGAUGACGGCCUUCGGGUUGUAAACCCCUUUCGGCAGGGACGAAGCUUUUGUGACGGGACCUGCAUAAGAAGCACCGGCUAACUACGU
Molecule: ribosomal RNA, 464 nt
Filed under: uncultured bacterium
Lineage: Bacteria
Description: partial 16S ribosomal RNA
Rfam family: Bacterial small subunit ribosomal RNA
Source: RNAcentral